GGAUUGUGGCUCAGUGGUAGAGAGUGUGCCUCACAUGUAUGAGGCACUGGGUUUGAUUCUCAGCACCA
RNAcentral lists this transfer RNA (68 nucleotides) under Marmota monax (woodchuck). RNAcentral's name for it is "tRNA.Val". Lineage: Eukaryota; Metazoa; Chordata; Mammalia; Rodentia; Sciuridae. The record is from RNAcentral.